GGGUGGUCUGAUGCAGGAGCUGCCACUUUCAGGACUGGACUGAGACAUCUGGACAGGCAAGACCAGCAGCAGCACCAUUGAUGGGCCGGCUCAGGGGUUCCUGUGCUCCUUCUUCCCAGGAAAGAAUCAGGGCUAAGCCCACAGACAGGGCUGAGAGGGGCAGCAGGGAGGAGCCAGACAAGUCAACACAAGACAUAGAGGACCGUCCUCAUCAGCAGGGCUGGUCAGAGAGUCUUCCCUCCAGCUUCACUCUUCUCCUUGGAUGCUGA
Molecule: long non-coding RNA, 269 nt
Filed under: Ictidomys tridecemlineatus (thirteen-lined ground squirrel)
Lineage: Eukaryota; Metazoa; Chordata; Mammalia; Rodentia; Sciuridae
Description: lncRNA (ENSSTOG00000033982.1)
Source: RNAcentral